AAACUCACCAGGUCAGGACACGGUAAGGAUUGACGGACUGAAGGCUCUUUCUCGAUUCCGUGGAAAGUGGUGCAUGGCCGUUUUGGUUGGUGGAUCGAUCCGUCUGGUUAAUUCCGUUAACGAACGAGACCUCGGCACUCCGAAUAGCGCGGCGGACGUCGCGGCCUUCCGGGCCGUCUUCCGCACGAGCUUCUUAGAGGGACCGUCCCCCGCCGGGGAAGGAGGUGCGAGGCAACGACAGGUCUGUGAUGCCCUUAGAUGUUCUGGGCCGCACGCGCAUUACACUGACGCGUCCAACGGGUGACUCCCGACCCGAAGGGGCCGGGGAAUCCGCAAGGCGCGUCGUGAUGGGGAUUGAACGUUGCAAUUGUUGUUCACGAACGAGGAAUUCCUAGUAGGCG
RNAcentral lists this ribosomal RNA (401 nucleotides) under uncultured eukaryote. Its description in RNAcentral is "bacterial SSU rRNA". It matches the Rfam family "Eukaryotic small subunit ribosomal RNA", at positions 1211 to 1623 of the family's 1831-position model. The record is from RNAcentral.